CCAGCAAUUCUUUGUAGCUAACUUCCAGAAGCUUUAGUCAGCCUGUAAAAGAUCCACAAGUAAAUUCUGCCUUUCUAUCAGAAAACACUAGAAAUACAAGGAAGUCUAUGUGUAAGGUUUAUUAGAGCUUACUACUGUACUUCAAGUGAUAAUUUUUGUUGAAGAACUGGGUGGUAUAGGGGUUAUUGCAUUGGCUCAGAAAACCAGGCUUUAAAACCUGCCCCUGAAACUCAUAUAGUGACCUUAAGCCAGUCACACACUCAGCCUAAUUUUCCUCACAGGGUUGUGAUGAGAAUAAAGUCAGGAAAGGAUAAGUUAGAAACAACACCUUGGGUUUACUGGAGAGAAAUCAGGACGUAAAUAUGACAAGUAAGGAGAAAAAUUGGGGGGGGGAUUUCAACUUACUGUGUAGGUAACAUACACAGCCUUUACCCAAAGCUCUCCUUGUCACUUUUAUAUACACUAACAAUCCAUAGCAAAUCACUCAGCUCAGUAGCAAUUCACAGUUGAAACCACUGCCACAAGCAGAGUUGCCUGCACAACCAUACUGUGUUGGAAUAUAAUUAAAACAUCAAUGAAGGUUUUAAAGAAAAAAAAAGUACUGUAUUGCCAUUACUAUCCUCUACUAAGACAUUAUGUAUAAAAGGCACACACAGGUUUUGAUACCAUAGAUGUUUUCUAAAGCUGUCUUUAGCUCAGCAGUAUUGCCUUUGCUUAGUCCAUAGAAUUUCUAUGUAUUGUUUAAACUAUGUAGUGUGAUUGUGUCCCUUGUGCUCAUUUCACCACUGUCUCACAUUUAUCACCCUGAUACAUUCAAACCCCAGAAAACAAAUGGUGGAGGUUCUAUAUCUGCAUCCAUAUUCUGUAACAGGGGAAGGAGGCUUUGAUCAUAAGAGGGUAACAACAGACAUCAAGAUAUUCUGUUCAGUAGCAGAUAUAGUUAGGCCAAAAAUGCAGCUGGUUUUGGUGGAUAGAGAGAUCCAAACUUAAUUUGGGUGGCCAGGGUCAUUCAUGGUCUUCAGUUACUUUGAACAGUCCCACUCUUUCUAUGUCUAGACCAGACUGAAGUAGAUCAAAUGAAAACCAGAAUCAUUCAGACACUGCUUCCACUUUGCAACUGUUCUUCAAGAGAGAAAAGAAGAACCCACUGGAUUUUUUUGACUGGAAAACAUCCAUCUGGAGG
Molecule: long non-coding RNA, 1183 nt
Filed under: Pogona vitticeps (central bearded dragon)
Lineage: Eukaryota; Metazoa; Chordata; Lepidosauria; Squamata; Agamidae
Description: lncRNA (ENSPVIG00000021789.1)
Source: RNAcentral